GAUGAACGCUGGCGGCGUGCCUAACACAUGCAAGUCGAACGAAGCACUAUAACAGAUCCUUCGGGUGAAGAUACAGUGACUGAGUGGCGGACGGGUGAGUAACGCGUGGGUAACCUGCCCUGUACAGGGGGAUAACAGUUAGAAAUGACUGCUAAUACCGCAUAAGCGCACGAUGGUAGCAUUACCAGGUGUGAAAAACUCCGGUGGUACAGGAUGGGCCCGCGCCUGAUUAGCUUGUUGGCGGGGUAAGAGCCCACCAAGGCGACGAUCAGUAGCCGGUCUGAGAGGAUGAACGGCCACAUUGGAACUGAGACACGGUCCAA
RNAcentral lists this ribosomal RNA (323 nucleotides) under uncultured bacterium. RNAcentral's name for it is "bacterial SSU rRNA". It matches the Rfam family "Bacterial small subunit ribosomal RNA", at positions 28 to 334 of the family's 1533-position model. The record is from RNAcentral.